AGUGGGAGCCUCUUUUAUGGGGUGACUGCGUACCUUUUGUAUAAUGGGUCAGCGACUUAUAUUCUGUAGCAAGGUUAACCGAAUAGGGGAGCCGAAGGGAAACCGAGUCUUAACCGGGCGUUAAGUUGCAGGGUAUAGACCCGAAACCCGGUGAUCUAGCCAUGGGCAGGUUGAAGGUUGGGUAACACUAACUGGAGGACCGAACCGACUAAUGUUGAAAAAUUAGCGGAUGACUUGUGGCUGGGGGUGAAAGGCCAAUCAAACCGGGAGAUAGCUGGUUCUCCCCGAAAGCUAUUUAGGUAGCGCCUCGUGAAUUCAUCUCCGGGGGUAGAGCACUGUUUCGGCAAGGGGGUCAUCCCGACUUACCAACCCGAUGCAAACUGCGAAUACCGGAGAAUGUUAUCACGGGAGACACACGGCGGGUGCUAACGUCCGUCGUGAAGAGGGAAACAACCCAGACCGCCAGCUAAGGUCCCAAAGUCAUGGUUAAGUGGGAAACGAUGUGGGAAGGCCCAGACAGCCAGGAUGUUGGCUUAGAAGCAGCCAUCAUUUAAAGAAAGCGUAAUAGCUCACUGGUCGAGUCGGCCUGCGCGGAAGAUGUAACGGGGCUAAACCAUGCACCGAAGCUGCGGCAGCGACACUGUGUGUUGUUGGGUAGGGGAGCGUUCUGUAAGCCUGUGAAGGUGUGCUGUGAGGCAUGCUGGAGGUAUCAGAAGUGCGAAUGCUGACAUAAGUAACGAUAAAGCGGGUGAAAAGCCCGCUCGCCGGAAGACCAAGGGUUCCUGUCCAACGUUAAUCGGGGCAGGGUGAGUCGACCCCUAAGGCGAGGCCGAAAGGCGUAGUCGAUGGGAAACAGGUUAAUAUUCCUGUACUUGGUGUUACUGCGAAGGGGGGACGGAGAAGGCUAUGUUGGCCGGGCGACGGUUGUCCCGGUUUAAGCGUGUAGGCUGGUUUUCCAGGCAAAUCCGGAAAAUCAAGGCUGAGGCGUGAUGACGAGGCACUACGGUGCUGAAGCAACAAAUGCCCUGCUUCCAGGAAAAGCCUCUAAGCAUCAGGUAACAUCAAAUCGUACCCCAAACCGACACAGGUGGUCAGGUAGAGAAUACCAAGGCGCUUGAGAGAACUCGGGUGAAGGAACUAGGCAAAAUGGUGCCGUAACUUCGGGAGAAGGCACGCUGAUAUGUAGGUGAAGUCCCUCGCGGAUGGAGCUGAAAUCAGUCGAAGAUACCAGCUGGCUGCAACUGUUUAUUAAAAACACAGCACUGUGCAAACACGAAAGUGGACGUAUACGGUGUGACGCCUGCCCGGUGCCGGAAGGUUAAUUGAUGGGGUCAGCGCAAGCGAAGCUCUUGAUCGAAGCCCCGGUAAACGGCGGCCGUAACUAUAACGGUCCUAAGGUAGCGAAAUUCCUUGUCGGGUAAGUUCCGACCUGCACGAAUGGCGUAAUGAUGGCCAGGCUGUCUCCACCCGAGACUCAGUGAAAUUGAACUCGCUGUGAAGAUGCAGUGUACCCGCGGCAAGACGGAAAGACCCCGUGAACCUUUACUAUAGCUUGACACUGAACAUUGAGCCUUGAUGUGUAGGAUAGGUGGGAGGCUUUGAAGUGUGGACGCCAGUCUGCAUGGAGCCGACCUUGAAAUACCACCCUUUAAUGUUUGAUGUUCUAACGUGGACCCGUGAUCCGGGUUGCGGACAGUGUCUGGUGGGUAGUUUGACUGGGGCGGUCUCCUCCUAAAGAGUAACGGAGGAGCACGAAGGUUGGCUAAUCCUGGUCGGACAUCAGGAGGUUAGUGCAAUGGCAUAAGCCAGCUUGACUGCGAGCGUGACGGCGCGAGCAGGUGCGAAAGCAGGUCAUAGUGAUCCGGUGGUUCUGAAUGGAAGGGCCAUCGCUCAACGGAUAAAAGGUACUCCGGGGAUAACAGGCUGAUACCGCCCAAGAGUUCAUAUCGACGGCGGUGUUUGGCACCUCGAUGUCGGCUCAUCACAUCCUGGGGCUGAAGUAGGUCCCAAGGGUAUGGCUGUUCGCCAUUUAAAGUGGUACGCGAGCUGGGUUUAGAACGUCGUGAGACAGUUCGGUCCCUAUCUGCCGUGGGCGCUGGAGAACUGAGGGGGGCUGCUCCUAGUACGAGAGGACCGGAGUGGACGCAUCACUGGUGUUCGGGUUGUCAUGCCAAUGGCACUGCCCGGUAGCUAAAUGCGGAAGAGAUAAGUGCUGAAAGCAUCUAAGCACGAAACUUGCCCCGAGAUGAGUUCUCCCUGACCCUUUAAGGGUCCUGAAGGAACGUUGAAGACGACGACGUUGAUAGGCCGGGUGUGUAAGCGCAGCGAUGCGUUGAGCUAACCGGUACUAAUGAACCGUGAGGCUUAACCUU
Molecule: ribosomal RNA, 2372 nt
Filed under: Escherichia coli
Lineage: Bacteria; Pseudomonadati; Pseudomonadota; Gammaproteobacteria; Enterobacterales; Enterobacteriaceae
Description: partial 23S ribosomal RNA
Rfam family: Bacterial large subunit ribosomal RNA
Source: RNAcentral